GAUGAACGCUGGCGGCGUGCCUAACACAUGCAAGUCGAACGAAGCGCCUGGCCCCGACUUCUUCGGAACGAGGAGCCUUGCGACUGAGUGGCGGACGGGUGAGUAACGCGUGGGCAACCUGCCUUGCACUGGGGGAUAACAGCCAGAAAUGGCUGCUAAUACCGCAUAAGACCGAAGCGCCGCAUGGCGCGGCGGCCAAAGCCCCGGCGGUGCAAGAUGGGGCCCCGCGUCUGAUUAGCUAGUUGGUAAGGUAACGGCUUACCAAGGCGACGAUCAGUAGCCGACCUGGGAGGGUGAUCGGGCCACAUUGGGAACUGAGACACGGGUCCAAACUCCUACGGGAGGCAGCAGUGGGGAAUAUUGCACAAUGGGCGAAAGCCUGAUGCAGCAACGCCGCGUGAGCGA
This 405-nucleotide ribosomal RNA is filed under the name uncultured bacterium. RNAcentral describes it as "bacterial SSU rRNA". It matches the Rfam family "Bacterial small subunit ribosomal RNA", at positions 28 to 408 of the family's 1533-position model. The record is from RNAcentral.